RNAcentral lists this ribosomal RNA (253 nucleotides) under uncultured bacterium. RNAcentral describes it as "partial 16S ribosomal RNA". It matches the Rfam family "Bacterial small subunit ribosomal RNA", at positions 524 to 776 of the family's 1533-position model. The record is from RNAcentral.
UACGGGGGGGGCAAGCGUUGUUCGGAAUUACUGGGCGUAAAGGGUUCGUAGGUGGCCAACUAAGUCAGACGUGAAAUCCCUCAGCUUAACUGGGGAACUGCGUCUGAUACUGGUUGGCUUGAGUGCAGGAGAGGAACGCGGAAUUCCAGGUGUAGCGGUGAAAUGCGUAGAUAUCAGGAAGAACACCAAUGGCGAAGGCAGCUCUCUGGGACGGUACUGACGCUGAGACGCGAAAGCGUGGGGAGCGAACAGG